AAAAAGCCUCUCCCUUUUCCUCUGCUAGGGUUUCACCUAGCAUCAACGCCGUCAUCGAUCCGCUACCCCUCCGCCAUGGUGCACCGUGGCCGGGGGCCGGAGUAGCGCAAAAAUGGGGAUUUUAAGUCUUUCGUUUGGAGGCUACGCCUUCUCGACCAGAAGGCCGAAGGACCAGAACCCUAACCCCUCUAUGAUCUAGCCUCGGUGACGGAGAGGAGGACCUCCAACAAUGAACUUGCGAAGUAGAUACUACUAGUAAGCUCCCCUUUCCUUUUGUUUUUUGUUUGUUAUUCGAGAUGGGUUUAUUCGAAAAAAAACGAAAAUAAAAGAAAAGAAAAGAAAAACAAAAUCACCCUUUUUUUUAACUCUAAAUAUGAGUUUUUUUAUUGCUAUUGCGUUUGUAUUCAAUAAUCGUGUCCAAAAAAAGAUUGAUACAUCAUUCACAGCUUUAUAACCGAAUAAAAAAUCCAAAAAAAUACAAUUUUUCAUAUUUUUCUACGUAUUUGCUAUUGUUUUUAUUUGAUUUGCAAGUACAAGGCCAACUGGACAGUGGCACGAGGCGGUGGUACAGAGGGUACGGAGCCAGGCUAUUAGGGUGGUUGCGGCGCAAGAGUGGAAGCCCUAGGGUUUCCUGAGAAUGGUUUGAGCUUUGGGCCAUUUGGGCCAAUGUAAUUGGGUUUAGGUUUAUUUUAUUUUGGCUUGUAUUGGGUUUGGGUUUAGUUAGUUGUUAGGUUAUUGAACCCUUGUAAUUUGGGUCAUAAUUUUGUAAACUAGACUGUGGACAUUUGUUGUUUAUUUUGGGUUUAUUCUUUGUUUUAAUCUGGUUUUGGUGUGGGCCUGGG
RNAcentral lists this long non-coding RNA (842 nucleotides) under Gossypium barbadense (sea-island cotton). RNAcentral's name for it is "long non-coding RNA (GBAR_LNC011965)". Lineage: Eukaryota; Viridiplantae; Streptophyta; Magnoliopsida; Malvales; Malvaceae. The record is from RNAcentral.